AUGGCCGGUUCGGGCGGAGCAUUAGAAGGCCCAGCACCAUCGCGACCCCGAGCGCCAUGUCCAAGACGUGGUCCACGGCGACGGAAACCGUUCCGGCGGCCUCCGAACCGGCGUAGAUCACGGGCGUGGCGGUAUUGGCGGCGAAGUCCGCCAACACCAUGGCGACGGCGACGGCCCUGUCGGCGUCUACCGCCGCUACGAACAAGGUGCAGGAAGAAGGACAGGAGACCACGAGGCAUCCUCUCACCUUUUCCUUUCUUCCCUUCUGGUUCUCUUUUCCGGCGACUGUCGCCGGCGUGA
This 300-nucleotide ribosomal RNA is filed under the name Triticum aestivum (bread wheat). Its description in RNAcentral is "partial small subunit ribosomal RNA". Lineage: Eukaryota; Viridiplantae; Streptophyta; Magnoliopsida; Poales; Poaceae. The record is from RNAcentral.